AGACUUUUCAAGAUGAGACGAACAGAAUUCGUCACAGAGCGCAGUCCUUGAUUCGUGACAUUCAAACCCCAGUGAUUCGUCGCGCCCGAAGUUGCACACCGUUUCCUGUGACUGGAUACACGUAUGAGCCAGCUUCGCAACUUGCCCUUGAUGCAUAUGUGGAGAGGAUAACCAACCCUGUACGCCACGUUGCCAAGGAAGUUCAUAGAAUCUCGCAUUAUCCUGAGCCAGCCAAAAAAUAUGUUGG
This is a long non-coding RNA of Rhagoletis zephyria (snowberry fruit fly), 247 nucleotides long. RefSeq lists it as uncharacterized. The record is from RefSeq and is a predicted model, not a curated record. Lineage: Eukaryota; Metazoa; Arthropoda; Insecta; Diptera; Tephritidae.